RNAcentral lists this ribosomal RNA (2092 nucleotides) under human gut metagenome. RNAcentral describes it as "bacterial LSU rRNA". It matches the Rfam family "Bacterial large subunit ribosomal RNA", at positions 476 to 2595 of the family's 2925-position model. The record is from RNAcentral.
CUUAGUGACCGAUAGCGCAUAGUACUGUGAAGGAAAGGUGAAAAGGACCCCGGGAGGGGAGUGAAAAAGAACCUGAAACCAUAUGUUUACAAGCUGUGGAACCGCUUUAUAUGCGGAACCGCGUACUUUUUGUAGAACGGUCCGGCGAGUUACGCUGGCUGGCGAGGUUAAGGGCUGAAGGCCUGGAGCCGAAGGGAAACCGAGUCUGAACAGGGCGAAAUAGUCAGUCGGAGUAGACCCGAAACCGGGUGAUCUAUCCAUGUCCAGGUUGAAGUUGCCGUAAAAGGCAAUGGAGGACCGAACCCACAUCCGUUGAAAAGGGUGGGGAUGAGGUGUGGAUAGGGGAGAAAUUCCAAUCGAACCCGGAGAUAGCUGGUUCUCCUCGAAAUAGCUUUAGGGCUAGCCUCAUGCAAGUCUUACGGAGGUAGAGCACUGAAUUCCUAAGGGGGCGUCAAAGCUUACCAAGGGAUAUCAAACUCCGAAUGCCGUGUAGAUGGUGCAUGGGAGUCAGACUAUCCGAGAUAAGUUGGGUAGUCAAAAGGGAAAGAGCCCAGACCUACAGCUAAGGUCCCAAAAUGUGUGUUAAGUGGAAAAGGAUGUGGGAUUUCGAAGACAACUAGGAUGUUGGCUUAGAAGCAGCCAUCCAUUAAAAGAGUGCGUAAUAGCUCACUAGUCGAGAGGUCCUGCGCCGAAAAUGUCCGGGGCUGAAACACACUACCGAAGCUUGGGAAUUGACGAAUGUUAAUUGGUAGAGGAGCAUUCUUAACGGGGCGAAGCUGUACCGGAAGGAGCAGUGGACUGUUAAGAAGAGAGAAUGCCGGAAUGAGUAGCGAGAGGAAGGUGAGAAUCCUUCCGGCCGAAUAUCUAAGGUUUCCAGAGUAAAGCUGAUCUGCUCUGGGUAAGUCGGGGCCUAAGGCGAGGUCGAAAGACGUAGUCGAUGGAUAACAGGUAAAGAUUCCUGUACUAUAUCAUAACAGAACUGUGGGGACGCAGACAGAGAGCAUAAGCCGGGAAUGGAAAAACCGGUACAAGCGAGGUAGGAGUGCAUCAGGCAAAUCCGGUGCACAAUCUGAAGACGUGAUGUGGGGCGUAAAGCCGGAAGUAUGUGAGCUGGCUGCCAAGAAAAGCCGCUAUUGUUUAUGAUAUACCCGUACCGUAAACCGACACAGGUGGAUGAGGAGAGAAUCCUAAGGCCGACGGGAGAAGCAUUGUUAAGGAACUCGGCAAAAUGACUCCGUAACUUCGGGAGAAGGAGUGCCAUGUAAAAGUGGCCGCAGAGAAUUGGCCCAAGCAACUGUUUAGCAAAAACACAGGUCUAUGCAAAACCGAAAGGUGAGGUAUAUGGGCUGACGCCUGCCCGGUGCUGGAAGGUUAAGGGGAGAGGUUAGCCGUAAGGCGAAGCUUUGAACUUAAGCCCCAGUAAACGGCGGCCGUAACUAUAACGGUCCUAAGGUAGCGAAAUUCCUUGUCGGGUAAGUUCCGACCCGCACGAAAGGCGUAAUGAUUUGGGCACUGUCUCAACAAUGCACCCGGUGAAAUUGAAAUACCAGUGAAGAUGCUGGUUACCUGCGCCAGGACGGAAAGACCCCAUGGAGCUUUACUCCAGCUUGAUACUGGGAUUCGAUAUUGCAUGUACAGGAUAGGUGGGAGACUGAGAACUGAUGACGCCAGUUGUCAGGGAGUCACUGUUGGGAUACCACCCUUGUAGUAUUGGAUUUCUAACCAGCAGCCGUGAACCGGCUGGGGGACAAUGUCAGGUGGGGAGUUUGACUGGGGCGGUCGCCUCCGAAAGGGUAUCGGAGGCGCUCAAAGGUUCCCUCAGAAUGGUUGGAAACCAUUCGAAGAGUGCAAAGGCAGAAGGGAGCUUGACUGCGACACCGACGGGUGGAGCAGGUACGAAAGUAGGACUUAGUGAUCCGGUGGUAUAAAGUGGGAUUGCCAUCGCUCAACGGAUAAAAGCUACCCUGGGGAUAACAGGCUUAUCACUCCCAAGAGUUCACAUCGACGGAGUGGUUUGGCACCUCGAUGUCGGCUCAUCGCAUCCUGGGGCUGUAGUAGGUCCCAAGGGUUGGGCUGUUCGCCCAUUAAAGCG